AGGACUAUCAAUGAUGUAGGCAAGAUCCUAGGGGGUCCUAAGCUCAAACAUUGAAGAUCAAGUAUUGUGCAUAUUAAAACUGAAUCACAUCUAAAGAUACUAAGCAUAUGAGGAACAAACACUAACUCAUCCUUGGGCAACAAGAUCAUCGCAAUCAACUGCAUGCUCAACUAAUUAAACUUGGUGCAUUUUUUUCUUCUUUUUUUUUCUUUUUUUUCUUUUUUUUUUUCAGCACCUUACAUUCACAUAUUUCAAACAACAUACAGAUAUUUAUUUCACAAUUCAGCUCAAUACAGCAAGAAUUAGCCCAUCCAUCAACAACAGUCACUGUCUUGGCCAAACAGAUCGUUCCUCCACGGUUCAGAACAGUUUUCAGCAUGGAUUCUGUUUGGGCAGACAGAUACAACGUCC
RNAcentral lists this long non-coding RNA (411 nucleotides) under Salvia miltiorrhiza (redroot sage). RNAcentral's name for it is "long non-coding RNA (SMIL_LNC009005)". Lineage: Eukaryota; Viridiplantae; Streptophyta; Magnoliopsida; Lamiales; Lamiaceae. The record is from RNAcentral.